UCCUCAUUCCACACGCUCUCUCGCAGGUCAGAGAUCCGAGAGAGUGCGCGAGAUGAGGAGA
This 61-nucleotide microRNA precursor is filed under the name Pristionchus pacificus. Its description in RNAcentral is "mir-8364 microRNA precursor family". It matches the Rfam family "mir-8364 microRNA precursor family". The record is from Rfam by way of RNAcentral. Lineage: Eukaryota; Metazoa; Nematoda; Chromadorea; Rhabditida; Neodiplogasteridae.